This 253-nucleotide ribosomal RNA is filed under the name uncultured bacterium. RNAcentral's name for it is "partial 16S ribosomal RNA". It matches the Rfam family "Bacterial small subunit ribosomal RNA", at positions 524 to 776 of the family's 1533-position model. The record is from RNAcentral.
UACGAGGGGGGCAAGCGUUGUUCGGAAUUAUUGGGCGUAAAGGGUGCGUAGGCGGUUUGAUAAGUCCUGUGUGAAAUCUUCGGGCUCAACUCGAAGUCUGCACGGGAAACUGCGGGGCUUGAGUGUGGGAGAGGUGAGUGGAAUUCCCGGUGUAGAGGUGAAAUUCGUAGAUAUUGGGAAGAACACCGGUGGCGAAGGCGGCUCACUGGCUCAUUACUGACGCUCAGGCGCGACAGCGUGGGGAUCAAACAGG